GAGUUUGAUCGUGGCUCAGAACGAACGCUGGCGGCAGGCCUAACACAUGCAAGUCGAACGCACUCUUCGGAGUGAGUGGCAGACGGGUGAGUAACGCGUGGGAACCUUCCCAAUGGUGCGGAAUAGCCCAGGGAAACUUGGGGGUAAUACCGCAUACGCCCUACGGGGAAAGAUUUAUCGCCAUUGGAUGGGCCCGCGUCGGAUUAGCUUGUUGGUGAGGUAAUGGCUCACCAAGGCAACGAUCCGUAGCUGGUUUGAGAGAAUGACCAGCCACACUGGGACUGAGACACGGCCCAGACUCCUACGGGAGGCAGCAGUGGGGAAUCUUGGACAAUGGGCGAAAGCCUGAUCCAGCCAUGCCGCGUGAGUGACGAAGGCCUUAGGGUUGUAAAGCUCUUUUGGC
Molecule: ribosomal RNA, 403 nt
Filed under: uncultured microorganism
Description: bacterial SSU rRNA
Rfam family: Bacterial small subunit ribosomal RNA
Source: RNAcentral